UUAAAUUGAAGAGUUUGAUCAUGGCUCAGAUUGAAUGCUGGCGGCAGGCCUAACACAUGCAAGUCGAACGGUAACAGGAAACAGCUUGCUGUUU
RNAcentral lists this ribosomal RNA (94 nucleotides) under Escherichia coli. RNAcentral's name for it is "partial 16S ribosomal RNA". It matches the Rfam family "Bacterial small subunit ribosomal RNA", at positions 1 to 88 of the family's 1533-position model. The record is from RNAcentral. RNAcentral also lists the same sequence under 3 other names. Lineage: Bacteria; Pseudomonadati; Pseudomonadota; Gammaproteobacteria; Enterobacterales; Enterobacteriaceae.